Molecule: ribosomal RNA, 440 nt
Filed under: uncultured bacterium
Lineage: Bacteria
Description: bacterial SSU rRNA
Rfam family: Bacterial small subunit ribosomal RNA
Source: RNAcentral
CUACGGGAGGCAGCAGUGGGGAAUAUUGGACAAUGGGCGAAAGCCUGAUCCAGCAAUGCCGCGUGGAUGAAGAAGGUCUUCGGAUUGUAAAGUCCUUUCGGCGGGGACGAUGAUGACGGUACCCGCAGAAGAAGCCCCGGCUAACUUCGUGCCAGCAGCCGCGGUAAUACGAAGGGGGCUAGCGUUACUCGGAAUGACUGGGCGUAAAGGGCGCGUAGGCGGUUUGGACAGUUAGGCGUGAAAUUCCUGGGCUCAACCUGGGGGCUGCGCUUAAUACAUCCAGACUUGAGUGUGGAAGAGGGUCGUGGAAUUCCCAGUGUAGAGGUGAAAUUCGUAGAUAUUGGGAAGAACACCGGUGGCGAAGGCGGCGACCUGGUCCAUUACUGACGCUGAGGCGCGAAAGCGUGGGGAGCAAACAGGAUUAGAUACCCCUGUAGUCC